ACAUCUAAGUACCCGGAGGAAGAGAAAGCAAAUGCGAUUCCCUGAGUAGCGGCGAGCGAAACGGGAACAGCCCAAACCAAGAGGCUUGCCUCUUGGGGUUGUAGGACACUCUGUACGGAGUUACAAAGAACGAGGUAGAUGAAGAGGUCUGGAAAGGCCCGCCAUAGGAGGUAACAGCCCUGUAGUCAAAACUUCGUUCUCUCCUGAGUGGAUCCUGAGUACGGCGGAACACGUGAAAUUCCGUCGGAAUC
RNAcentral lists this ribosomal RNA (251 nucleotides) under Bacillus licheniformis. RNAcentral describes it as "partial 23S ribosomal RNA". It matches the Rfam family "Bacterial large subunit ribosomal RNA", at positions 198 to 444 of the family's 2925-position model. The record is from RNAcentral. Lineage: Bacteria; Bacillati; Bacillota; Bacilli; Caryophanales; Bacillaceae.